This 71-nucleotide transfer RNA is filed under the name Loxodonta africana (African savanna elephant). It matches the Rfam family "tRNA". From Rfam's summary of the family: Transfer RNA (tRNA) molecules are approximately 80 nucleotides in length. Lineage: Eukaryota; Metazoa; Chordata; Mammalia; Proboscidea; Elephantidae. The record is from Rfam by way of RNAcentral.
GCAUUGGUGGUUCAGCGAUAGAGUUCUCACCUUCCAUGUGAGAGACCCAGGUUAGAUUCCCAGCCAAUACA